CCUACGGGUGGCAGCAGUGAGGAAUAUUGGUCAAUGGACGCAAGUCUGAACCAGCCAUGCCGCGUGCAGGAAGACGGCUCUAUGAGUUGUAAACUGCUUUUGUACGAGGGUAAACUCAGAUACGCGUAUCUGUCUGCAAGUAUCGUACGAAUAAGGAUCGGCUAACUCCGUGCCAGCAGCCGCGGUAAUACGGAGGAUUCAAGCGUUAUCCGGAUUUAUUGGGUUUAAAGGGUGCGUAGGCGGUCGGAUAAGUUAGAGGUGAAAUCCCGAGGCUCAACUUCGGAAUUGCCUCUGAUACUGGUCGGCUAGAGAGUAGUGGCGGUAGGCGGAAUGUAUGGUGUAGCGGUGAAAUGCUUAGAGAUCAUACAGAACACCGAUUGCGAAGGCAGCUUACCAAGCUACGUCUGACGUUGAGGCACGAAAGCGUGGGGAGCAAACAGGAUUAGAUACCCCAGUAGUC
Molecule: ribosomal RNA, 460 nt
Filed under: uncultured bacterium
Lineage: Bacteria
Description: partial 16S ribosomal RNA
Rfam family: Bacterial small subunit ribosomal RNA
Source: RNAcentral